This is a non-coding RNA of Chrysemys picta bellii (western painted turtle), 1374 nucleotides long. NCBI's taxonomy places the organism in Eukaryota, Metazoa, Chordata, Testudines, Emydidae. The record is from RefSeq and is a predicted model, not a curated record.
GUCCCCAGCCGGCCGGCCGCGCCCGCCGAGACCCGUCAGAGCUCCGCGCCCCUCCCCCGGUGCCGGGGACCCACCUGGCCCGGCCGGAGAGGCUGGUCUGCACGUGCUGGCGGAAGGCCGGGUACCGGGACGCCAGUUAGUAAGGAGAAUGGGAGACAGUCCAGCAAGGGAUCCAUUCGCCCAGAGAGCCAGAAGCUGUUUGUAACCUCCGGAGCAGUUCAGCCAGUCACAGAACAGCACCAUGGCCAAGCAUGAUGCUGGAGAAGGCACCUCUGAAGCUAUCCUGCAAUACCCCACUCUGACAGUUAAAUUGGUGCAAGCACUCCUGGUGAGGACACAAGAAGCGUAGUGCGGCCAUGUAAAACCGAUUCAAUUACAGCAAUGGCUGUACAUCGAAGUAACUUAGGUAAACUUAAUUUAGAAGUGUAGACUUCACCUAAGUUAAGUCAUUUGAUUAAAAGAACUGGCCCCAAUUGAGAAGAGCGAGCAGGGCUAGUGAAUAGGACAUUGGACUGAGAUUUAGGAGAUCUGGGUUUUAUUGAUGCACUGCCUCUGACCUGUGCAAUGACAAGCAAGUUAUUUCACUUCUAUGUCCCGGGUUUCCCCACCUGUAAAUAAUAAUGAUACUGACCUUCUUUGUAAAGCAUGUGGAGAUCUACAAAAAUAUGCUAUAUGAGAGCACAUUAUUUUUAUUAUAGAGCUUUAAAUAGAAAGGGGAUCUUAACAUUAACUAUAGAGGAGCUACCUCUUCACUAUAAUUAUUCCCUGUGCUUAAUCAAAGAGAUUUUACUAUUUUUUUAAUAUUAACUGUCUAUUGUUUGCAAGUUCACUUAAAAUUUGCUGGCACCUCAUUAACAAACUAAUCCUCCAAAUGUCUUGAGUCCCCCAUUCACUCUUUUCCCCACUCGCAACCAGCCAGCUCUCCUCCAAUUUCCCCAAGUCUUUGGGACAAUUGAAUUCUAUGUACAAAAGAGGAGAUCCUUGAUUCCACAAAUCCAAUGUUCCAUCUCUGGCUAUGGCCCAUGCUGGUUGCUUCUGGGGUCCCCCUUGCUCCUGUCUUUCUCUUCCAGUGGUAUGCAAGAGAGGACUAAAUGGACAAAUGCAGACUGGAAGCAGGGUUACAAACGGGGCUUUUAUUUCAGAGCGUUUAGUGUAUUUACAAGAGUUUAAAAAAAUUCUCCUGAUCCUCUGCAAGAGACAGAGGAUGCACGCUCAAAAGGUGUGAGGAUAAUUUGAGCCCUUAGCUACUCCAUACCUAACAAGGGCUAACACUUGGAAGAAUGUAACAGUGAGCGCUCAUGGGAUGGAGCCUGGGAAGUAGUGUGAAAUUAUUCAGAAGUCCCUAACAAAAUAUAUGCCAUCAUAUUUGCAGUU